AUGAUUGCUGUGUCCUAUCUGCCGUGUGCUGGAACAUACCUAUCAGCUCAAGUUGCUCAAGUAAUCGGAAGGGUUUUGCACAACCAUGAGAGAAGAAUGCAGUCCAGUAUUUUCAGGAAGAUGGAUUCCAGCCCAUUAAAACUAAAAUUUCAGAAAGACAGGCACUCUGAUGUAUCAUCUGUCAAGAAGCUGGAUAUGGAAGCUGUCCAGAGGUGAAAAGCUGAAACAGAAUUUUGGGAAAUUUUCAUAAAAAUAAAUACAGAGAAGAAUAUUGUUGUAUUUUUCUG
RNAcentral lists this long non-coding RNA (287 nucleotides) under Struthio camelus australis. RNAcentral's name for it is "lncRNA (ENSSCUG00000017544.1)". The record is from RNAcentral. Lineage: Eukaryota; Metazoa; Chordata; Aves; Struthioniformes; Struthionidae.